AGAGUUUGAUCAUGGCUCAGGACGAACGCUGGCGGCGUGGAUUAGGCAUGCAAGUCGAACGGUAUAAACCUUUCGGGGUUUAGAGAGUGGCGAACGGGUGAGUAACACGUAGGUAAUCUACCCUCAAAACGGGGACAACCCAGGGAAACUUGGGCUAAUACCGGAUGCGUGCAAGCAAUGUUUUGGCUGUUAAUGCUAUUCACGGAAGUGAGUAGUGUUAAUGGUUGAGAGCAUUAUUUGCAUAAAAGGUGGCGUAUGCUGCCGUUUGAGGAUGAGCCUGCGUCCUAUUAGUUAGUUGGUGAGGUAAUGGCUUACCAAGGCGAUGAUAGGUAGGCGGCCUUAACGGGUGGUCGCCCACACUGGGAUUGAGAGACGGCCCAGACUCCUACGGGAGGCAGCAGUCGAGAAUAGUCUACAAUGGACGGAAGUCUGAUAGUGCGACGCCGCGUGAACGAAGAAUCCCUUCGGGGUGUAAAGUUCUUUUAUACGUGAGCAGUGCCCUUUAUAUGAAUAGUAUAGAGGGAGGGAUUUAAGCGUAUGAAUAAGCAACGGCUAACUCCGUGCCAGCAGCCGCGGUAACACGGGGGUUGCAAGCGUUGUCCGGAAUUACUAGGCGUAAAGUGCAGGUAGGCGGAUAGAUAAGUUUAAGGUUAAAGGCUACGGCUUACCCGUAGUAAGGCGUUAGAUACUGUUUAUCUGGAAUGCGGUUGAGGGAGACAGAAUUCCUGGUGUAGCGGUGGAAUGCGCAGAGAUCAGGAGGAAUACCGAAGGCGAAAGGCAGUCUUCUAAGCCGAUAUUGACGCUAAACUGCGAAGGUGUGGGGAUCAAACAGGAUUAGAUACCCUGGUAGUCCACACAGUAAACGAUAAUCACUAGGUGUUGGGUUCGUAUAGGACUCGGUGCCGGAGCUAACGCGAUAAGUGAUUCGCCUGGGGAGUACGAUCGCAAGGUUGAAACUCAAAUGAUUGACGG
This 972-nucleotide ribosomal RNA is filed under the name bacterium enrichment culture clone B312162. RNAcentral's name for it is "bacterial SSU rRNA". It matches the Rfam family "Bacterial small subunit ribosomal RNA", at positions 8 to 916 of the family's 1533-position model. The record is from RNAcentral.